RNAcentral lists this ribosomal RNA (547 nucleotides) under Fusarium sp. UOM V. RNAcentral's name for it is "eukaryotic LSU rRNA". The stretch from base 150 to 303 matches the Rfam family "5.8S ribosomal RNA". RNAcentral also lists the same sequence under 1 other name. The record is from RNAcentral. Lineage: Eukaryota; Fungi; Ascomycota; Sordariomycetes; Hypocreales; Nectriaceae.
GUAACCGGGAUGCACUCCAAACCCCUGUGACAUACCUAUACGUUGCCUCGGCGGAUCAGCCCGCGCCCCGUAAAACGGGACGGCCCGCCCGAGGACCCCUAAACUCUGUUUUUAGUGGAACUUCUGAGUAAAACAAACAAAUAAAUCAAAACUUUCAACAACGGAUCUCUUGGUUCUGGCAUCGAUGAAGAACGCAGCAAAAUGCGAUAAGUAAUGUGAAUUGCAGAAUUCAGUGAAUCAUCGAAUCUUUGAACGCACAUUGCGCCCGCCAGUAUUCUGGCGGGCAUGCCUGUUCGAGCGUCAUUUCAACCCUCAAGCUCAGCUUGGUGUUGGGACUCGCGGUAACCCGCGUUCCCCAAAUCGAUUGGCGGUCACGUCGAGCUUCCAUAGCGUAGUAAUCAUACACCUCGUUACUGGUAAUCGUCGCGGCCACGCCGUUAAACCCCAACUUCUGAAUGUUGACCUCGGAUCAGGUAGGAAUACCCGCUGAACUUAAGCAUAUCAAUAGGGCGGGAGGAAACUUAGUGUCGGUGCUUCCUUUGAGGAU